GACGCUUAAGCAGCACGAUGGAGAGGCCCCCUUGAGGAGGAAGGGAAGGCCUUGCCAGCAGCCUUCCGAACCUGACAUUUUAGAACGAGAUCCUUCAGCCUUCCCAAGCCUUCAGAGGAAACAGCCCCAGUCAAAACUUUGACCAUAACUUUACGAAAGAGCUCCUAAGCCAGAACUAACCGCCUGAGCUGCUCCAAAAACCAAGAAUCUGGAAAGUUCUCAACAGAUAAAUCUCACAGAAGGAAUUUCAAGAAUGAGAUUAAUCCAUGAACAAUGACAAAAAAGCAACCAACAAAAAACACAAGAGUGGCAGGAGAUGCAGGAAAUCAUUUCAUCUCUUCCAAGGAAUAUCUGGUUUAGAGCUGCCUUGUUCUUUAUAAUCACACUCCUCUGUGUUCCAAGAAAUGGCUGAACGCAAAGGAUGACCCUGGCCUCACAUAUUCCAAGAUAAAAUCCACCUUCACCUUCUUCCAGGACUCAGAUGAGCCCCACCACCACCCAGGUUUUCUCCCUCUAUUUGAGAUCUUCCUCGUUAAU
This 537-nucleotide long non-coding RNA is filed under the name Homo sapiens (human). Its description in RNAcentral is "HSALNT0323887". Lineage: Eukaryota; Metazoa; Chordata; Mammalia; Primates; Hominidae. The record is from RNAcentral.